UACGGAGGGUGCGAGCGUUGUCCGGAAUCACUGGGCGUAAAGGGCGCGUAGGCGGCCUGAUAAGUAGGGGGUGAAAUCCUGAGGCUUAACCUCAGGGCUGCCUUCUAAACUGUCGGGCUCGAGCACAGUAGAGGCAGGUGGAAUUCCCGGUGUAGCGGUGGAAUGCGUAGAGAUCGGGAAGAACAUCAGUGGCGAAGGCGGCCUGCUGGGCUGUUGCUGACGCUGAGGCGCGACAGCGUGGGGAGCAAGCAGG
This 253-nucleotide ribosomal RNA is filed under the name uncultured bacterium. Its description in RNAcentral is "partial 16S ribosomal RNA". It matches the Rfam family "Bacterial small subunit ribosomal RNA", at positions 524 to 776 of the family's 1533-position model. The record is from RNAcentral.